AUGGAAACAAUGCCCGCUAGAGACAGAUUCUCUGAUUUUUGUUUCUUUGUUUUUUGUUUUUUGCUUUUCCUCAAAAAAGGCUGGAUGUUGCAGAAGAAACUUUUCUCUCUUUUCCUUUCCUCUGAGCAUUCUUCUGUAUCUCCUGCACAUGACAGCAAACAACUGAUUGGGGACUCAAGAUGGCGCUGUGAGAACAACCCAGGAUUGGAGCUCUCGUUGUGUCCGCCGAGAGGGACAUGGAUGAAUCUGGAGAACAUCAUCCUCAGCAAACUGACACAAGAACAGAAAAUGAAACACCGCAUAUUCUCACUCAUAGGUGGGUGAUGAAAAAAGAGAACACAUGGACACAGAAAGGGGAGUACUAAACACUGGGGUCUAUUGGGGGGAAAAGGGGAGGGCCAGUGGGAGGGGGAGGUGGGGAGGGAUAGCCUGGGGAGAAAUGCCAAAUGUGGGUGAAGGGGAGAAGAAAAGCAAAGCACACUGCCAUGUGUGUACCUUCGCAACUGUCUUGCAUGCUCUGCUCAUGUACCCCAAAACCUAAAAUCCAAUAAAAAAUUAAAAAAAAAAAUACUCUACCUUUUUUGAGUCUUGGUGGGAAAGUUUAGAUGUUUCUCAUAAAGUGUCAUUGAUCCUUGGGAGACACAUAUUGUAGUGUUCCAUGCUCACCUGGAGAGUCCAGGAACUGCUAGAAACUAACAGUGAGAAGUAAAGAACUACUUAGAUGUAAUCCCAGCUACUCAGGAGGCUGAGGUAGGAGAAUUGCCUCAACCCAGGAGGCGGAGGUUGCGGUGAGCCGAGAUCACGCCACUGCACAAUCUGGGUAACAAGAGCGAAAAUCCAUCUAAAAAAAAAGAACUGCUUAGAACACCUGGCAAAAGGGAAGAACUGAUCGACAAAGGAAGAUAAGACUUGAAUUAAACAGACAAUGAGACAAAACAGCCAAAAGGCAGGAUGAUUUCGCUAGAGCCUUGAUGAGUUACUAGAGUUACUACACUGAUAAGCCGCAAACAAAGUAGAGAACCUGCUCAGGUCUUAGGCUUCUGAGCCAGCUCUGUAAUGAGAUAGAAUAUGCUCAGAGGUCUCUCCUACACUCCUCUAAGAAUCCUGGGAAAUGGAUCUUCCAUUUAGCUACUUGAUAAUAAAAUUCAGCUCCUCAUUUUCAGGUAGUUUAAAGAAUGAGCAGUAGCAAAUGUCAUAGUAAAAGCCUGAAAAAUGGAAACAAUUAAGGAAAUGAUCAUGAAACCCUAAAACCAUUUAUUUCCAAGAUUGAAUCAUAAAAAUGUAGGCUAAAUACUUCAUAGCAGUAAUCGUGGUGAUGAGGGUAAAAAAGACUACUGCAAGCAAAGAAAUUUCAAUUCCCAUAUGGAUACCCUAAGAGAAAUGAGGCUUUAGCCCAAAAGCAAUAUCGAAACUUGUUUUUAAAAUAUAUAAUCUUGUUAAGUUAUUUUCUAGAUAAUUUGCAUUCGUGGGUUUAUUCUGAGUAAAUUUCCCCAGAGAGAUGUCUGGGGAUUUAGAGAGUAUAAAUAGGGUUAGAGCAAGAGAUGGAAACGACACUCAGAAAUUAUACAGGGGUCAAAUGGAAACUCCCUGUAGGCGAAAUGUUUUUCAAUCCAUCGGAUAUUCCUAGUGUCUCUAAAAGGAGUAGUUUAAUUUCGGGCAGGGAUAAUGUGGGAAGUGGAAGGGUAGGGGUGGGAGAAAUCCUGGUAUUCUUUAAUGAGAAGACUAGAAAGGGAAAGGAAGAAUAUAAAAUCCAACUUUUGUUCCUCUAUCUGAUUGUCCUAAAGCAUUUCCAAAUAGAUAAGACCUUUUCAAGAAUACUUUUCAGAAAAAAAGUCACUCAGCCUCCAAAUAGACCCUGACUUCCAAUGACAUAAAAGUUUUGGGAAGACCCUUGGGUAGUGGACUUUAAUUAAAACUGAAGUGUAGUAAGUUACCUAUAGGGUGGAAAUAGAAAUGUUCAUAAAUUCGAUGAUGUAAAUAUUUUUAAGGAAAAUUAAAAAUUCAAUAUUUCACAUUUCCUUCCUCCCUCCCUUCUCUCCCUCUUUUCCCUUCCUCCCUUCUUUCCCUUCCUUCCUUCUUUCCCUCCCUCCUUCCCUCCUUCCCUCCCUCCCUCCCUCCCUCCCUCCCUCCCUCCCUCCCUCCCUCCUUCCUUCCUUCCUUCCUUCCUUCCUUCCUUCCUUCCUUCCUCCCUCUCUCUUUCUCUCUCUCUCUUUCUUUGAGUCUUGCUCUGUUGCACAGGCUGAAGUGCAGUCGUGUGAUCAGGGCUCACUGCAGCCUCCACCUCCCAGGCUCAGGUGAUCCAACCCCCUCAGCACCCCCUGGGGACUACAGGUACUAGCCACCACACCUGUUUGUUUGUUUCUUUGAUUUUUAGUAGAGAUGCUGUCUCACUCUGUUGCCCGGGCUGGUCUUGAACUCCUGAGCUCAAGUGAUCCUCCUACUUCAGCCUCCCAAAGCUCUGGGAUUAUAGACAUCAGCUACCACAACUGGCCUAAAUAUUCUUUUUUUUAGGAUAAAAAAUUUGGAAAACAACAUUACAAAACAUAACUGAAGUAUAGCAAAAAGACUAUUAAAGAGAAACUUUUAUGAGAAACAAGUCUUUGAGUUUAGGUUAAGAACUCAGCAUGAAUCCUGUAUCUGUGAGCCCCAAGAUGGGAGAAGAGGGAUUCAUAGGCACAGUUUCCUUCUUUUCAAAAGAGGAUACAUUGUAGUAUCCCUCUGAUGUUUUGUGAUGUGAGCAGAUCUCCAUGCUGUGUAAGCCACAGUUUAUGAAACUUAGUAUUUAUUAUGUCAGAGUCACUGUUCUAAUCAAAUACAACUUGAGAAAAAUUUAGUUUUAAUACAUUUAAGUUUUAUUAACACGUUAUAUACAGAAAUAUCAUACUACAUAAUAAUUAGACAUAAAUAUUAACUCUAUAAAAUUUUUAAUUCAUUUUGUCAUUUCUUCAACAUCUAAAACCGAGGACAAUUUUUAUGAUGUCCCUAAUGCCAAGUACCAUUUAACUGUCAUCCUUUUUUCCUUAACUUUCUCAUCAUGUAGGUGCUUCUGGGUCAGGUUUUGCCCCUUGGUAUUUGGGCCCAUGCCCCCGGGCUGGGGUUUUCCUCUAAGUAUUUUACCCAACAUCCCUCCACUCAUAUUGGAAGAUUUGAGCAGUUGCUUUCUGUCCUUGCCCCUGCUCAUUGUAUCUCAGGUGGUGAAGUCUUGAAGUGGCAGGAACUUGGGCAUGAAAUUAAACUGCAGACUUUAACAGAAGGGCAACAGUUACAUGACAAAGUUGUAGGUGAGGAAGAGAGCAACUAAGGAGGCAGAAAGGAAAGUGAGGAGGGAAGGAGGGAGUGGGUCUGGUGAGAACAGGCUGGGGCUUCCUGGAGACCUUAGAUUCUGCUCUAAAUUAGACCAAAGCAAGCAAGAGGAGAUAUGCCAUAAUAAGAAAUAGAUAUAUUUGGUUUCUGCUCCUAUUUCCUGGCCGAGGCUCCUAAAAUGCUUGAACUCUCCUAAGUGACAAGUGCCUUUUUGUAUGCUAAUGAGAUGACUAGGGGGUCCUGGAAAGCUUCAGGAUGCCAGCUGGAACCAACCUAGUGAUUAGAGGUUUGGAACUUUCAACCUCAUCCCCUCAUAUCUCAGAAGGGGAGAGGAUAGGAGCUGAAGGUUGACUUGAUCACUGAUGGCCAGUGAUUUAUCAAUCAUGCCUGUGUAGUGAAGCUUACAUACAAACCUCAAACGACAGGGUUUGGAGGACUUCCAGGUUGCUUGAACACAGGGAGGUACAGGGAGGUCGGCACACUAGACAGGGUGUGGAAGCUCAGUGCACAUCACACAUGUCCUGUCCUGGGCAUCUCUUCCAUCUGGCUGUUCAUCUGUAUCUUUUGAAAUAUCCUUUAUAAUAGACCAGUAAAUACAAGUAAAUGUCCCCCUGGUCAACUGGUAAACAUAUGUCAAUUUUUCCCCGAGUUCUGUGAGCCAUUCUAGCAAAUGAUCAAACCAGAGGAGGGAGUUAUGGGAACCUCAUAGCUGCUCAGUCAGAAGCACAGGUGCCAAUGUGGAGUUUAUGAUUGGCAUCUGAAGUUGGGAGAAGUCUCGUGGGACUGAGCCCUUAAUUUGCAGGAUCCAAACUAACUCUGGUUAAUGUUAGAAUUGAGUUAAAUUGUAGGACAUCUAAUUGGUGUUAGAGAAUUGAUCAAUAUGGAGAAAAGUCCACACACAUUUCGGUGACUGAAAGUGUCCUGUGUUGAGAGCAUAGUAGGAGAAAACUGUUUGUUUUCCUAUUAUACAAGAGACCUCUUUGGAACUGUAGUGGAUGAUGUUGUAUGUCACUCAGAUCUCCUUCAUGGCUUAAGCCUUGUUCCCUCCAGAUGCCAGGAAUGCCGCUGGCUGGCAGCCCCAAGCUGGCAGCCCUCUUGGAAGUGCCUUGCCCAUGGUCACACUCCAUUUGUAGCACCUUGUAUUCAACGACCUGUCAAUUAUAAAGACCAUCACCUCACCCUAGGAAAGGACAUCUCUAAAGGUUCAUCUCAGCUUCAGUGUUCACUAUAGGGUGAGUUGAGGCUUUCAUUGAGACUAUGCCACAGCCCAAUAUCUCCAUGAUUUCUUCCUUUUCCUUCCCCAGGUGGUGAUGCUGUGGCAUGCCAGGCCUCUGUUACAUCUGUCCCAGCACUGGCUGAGUAGCUAGGUUAAACAUUAAAAGCUGAUUGAGCCAGUGCCCUUAUACAAAGACCAGAAUGUAACAAAGAGCCCACCAAGAGUCUUGCCUAGGCUUUUCCUGUCCCUUGAAGCAUGACAAGAUAAUGAAGGAAUUCUUAUCAGGACCCUUUUAGGAUUAAACAAGUUUUAUUAGGGGUCUGAAGAUACUCCCCAGGCCUCCACAAACAAGUUUCCUGGGGUCUAAAGAAACUCCCCAAACCUUUAUAAUUUAGCAGGAGACAAGAUAAGGUAGUCACCCCAGUACUUAGACCCAUUUAGAUUAAGUACCCUUUCUGAAGCUCCAGAAGAAGGUCUUCAGGACUCAGACCUUAGUUACAGAUUAAAAGAAGUCAAUUACUUAUGUCUUUGGAUGAAUGCACACUUACACAUAGACAUAUAGCUUAGAAGGUAUAUAAGCUCUGGAAAACUUUGCAAUUUUGAGUCGGUCUGGCAAUAAUUUCCAGGCCUUCUCCCUGUAACCAGUUACAGAAAUAAAAACUCUCUUUCUUCUCAGUUCAUCGGCAUCUCAUUAUUGGGCCACAAGAAGUAGCAUCCCUACCCUCAGUUUGGUCUGGGAACAAAAUUUGGUGUGCCAGCCAAGAGAGACCAGGAUGGUGCUACGUUCA
Molecule: long non-coding RNA, 5307 nt
Filed under: Callithrix jacchus (white-tufted-ear marmoset)
Lineage: Eukaryota; Metazoa; Chordata; Mammalia; Primates; Cebidae
Description: lncRNA (ENSCJAG00000072242.1)
Source: RNAcentral